CUUGUAGCUCAGUUGGUAGAGCACCUGACUCUUAAUCAGGGUGUCCAGGGUUCGACCCCCUGC
Molecule: transfer RNA, 63 nt
Filed under: uncultured Prevotella sp.
Lineage: Bacteria; Pseudomonadati; Bacteroidota; Bacteroidia; Bacteroidales; Prevotellaceae
Rfam family: tRNA
About the family: Transfer RNA (tRNA) molecules are approximately 80 nucleotides in length. Their secondary structure includes four short double-helical elements and three loops (D, anti-codon, and T loops).
Source: RNAcentral